This 253-nucleotide ribosomal RNA is filed under the name uncultured bacterium. Its description in RNAcentral is "partial 16S ribosomal RNA". It matches the Rfam family "Bacterial small subunit ribosomal RNA", at positions 524 to 776 of the family's 1533-position model. The record is from RNAcentral.
UACGUAGGGGGCGAGCGUUGUCCGGAUUUACUGGGCGUAAAGCGCGUGUAGGUGGCGGCUUAAGUGGGGUGUGAAAGCCCGGGGCUCAACUCCGGAGCGCCGCUCCAAACUGGGUCGCUUGAGGACGGAAGAGGGGAGUGGAAUUCCUGGUGUAGCGGUGAAAUGCGUAGAGAUCAGGAGGAACACCCGUGGCGAAGGCGGCUCCCUGGUCCGUCCCUGACGCUGAGACGCGAAAGCGUGGGGAGCAAACGGG